RNAcentral lists this long non-coding RNA (1534 nucleotides) under Lactuca sativa (garden lettuce). RNAcentral describes it as "long non-coding RNA (LSAT_LNC009793)". Lineage: Eukaryota; Viridiplantae; Streptophyta; Magnoliopsida; Asterales; Asteraceae. The record is from RNAcentral.
GAAGACGGAGAUUUCUAGACUUGAAAUCAUGUCGUUAGGCGGUGAUGGGACGCGAAACUUUUAUCUAGAUAAAUCCCAUCCGUUCAACUUCCUAGGAAAUUCAAAUUUUCAAAGGUCGAUAUUUUCGUUCAAAUCUUCCUAUAAAUUCAAACUUUGUUCAUAUAUAUAAAUACUUGCGGUCAAGAAGAUUGUUCAACGCCUUAGGUAAAGUUUUCUCUCCAUUUUCUUUAUCGUUCCUCUUCUUUUCGUUUUAUCAUUAUGGGUAAAAAAAACUCACCAGAUCAAAAUCUAGGGUUGAGGGACCUGUGUUAGAAAAUUUCACUGACUUAGGUAUAUUGCCUCGAGAUGAAAGUGAAAGUUGUGCUUUCUUGAACUCUGAUAUCAAGUUACUUCGAUCAUACGAAAAUUUUCCUUUUGACAGUCUUAAGGGAUUUCGACACUAGGUUGAAGCCUGGUUUCAUAUCUCUUUAUUUGGGUUUGUUUUUAUGAUUUUCCGUUUUCUAUUUGGAUUUCAUUCCCCUUUCUUCCUUUGAUUUCUAUGUUUUUUGAGGUUCCCCAAUUUUCUUGUGCCCAAAUCAUGCCCAUGGUUUGACAUAUUUUGUUCUGGGUUGUCUUCCUUAAUGAAUCUGAAAACCUAGAUCUUGGUUUGUCCGGGAUUGCUAGUAUCUAUGACUUCCACAACUUUGGUUCUUAUCGUAUUAUCUUCAAGAUCAAACCUGGAAAAAUCCAUUUGAUCCUUAAGACUUCCUUUCACGAUGUCGGAUGGAAGAGAAAGUAUUUUUUUCAUCAACAAACAGUCUCUUGCAGGUUUCUUGCUAAGUGAUUGGGUUACUACGGGUAAGAUUCUUAUUUCUACAGUUUAUUGUAUUAUUUUUAUUUAAAAGUCGACUCUUGUUUUUUGAUUUAUCUUGAAUAGUACCGCAGUUUGAGAAACUAUUUCCUCCCAAGGAAGACACUAAGGAAAAAGGUUAAAAGUUUAAUGGCAAUUCUUGCAGAGAAUAGGGUUUUCAAAGUCAUCUUGGAGUGUUCUUAGGAUAAGGAUCUUAACAUAUCUUUGGUUAUUAGAGAUCUAGAGCCCAUCAACAGUCUACUGGUAUGUUAACUUGUUCCUUUCUUACUUUUUGAUUUGUUUUUGAUGUAAUUUUCUUCUUCUUCAGGUUUCAUGCUUACUUGACCAGGUUUGUCAUUCUCUUAUUUCAAUGUCGAGGGCUUUCUUUCUAGAGGGAAAGCCUACAAGUCCUAAUCCCAAGAAGAGGAAGCUUACUUUGGAACUUGGGCAAUAAGUUUUUGACGGUUUAGGCCCUUUUGAAAUUAAGUUGAAGUUAAUUACUCUUACUCAAACUAUAAGUUAUACUUAUCUUCAUUGUGUAAUGUCCCAAAAACCAUAAUAAAAUUUCUCAUUUUACUUUGUAUCAUAGUAUGUAUCCUUGUGUGUAGGAUGUUGAUAUGUUGUAGUAAUUUGUUAGAUUGGUAGAUCUAUUAUGAUUACCUGUAUUGUUGGUUAUUGUUUGUUUGUUUGUUUGUAUAUGUCGAC